Molecule: ribosomal RNA, 484 nt
Filed under: uncultured bacterium
Lineage: Bacteria
Description: partial 16S ribosomal RNA
Rfam family: Bacterial small subunit ribosomal RNA
Source: RNAcentral
AUUGAACGCUGGCGGCAGGCCUAACACAUGCAAGUCGAGCGGAUGAAGGGAGCUUGCUCCUGGAUUCAGCGGCGGACGGGUGAGUAAUGCCUAGGAAUCUGCCUGGUAGUGGGGGAUAACGUCCGGAAACGGGCGCUAAUACCGCAUACGUCCUGAGGUAGAAAGUGGGGGAUCUUCGGACCUCACGCUCUCAGAUGAGCCUAGGCCGGAUUAGCUAGUUGGUGGGGUAAAGGCCUACCAAGGCGACGAUCCGUAACUGGUCUGAGAGGAUGAUCAGUCACACUGGAACUGAGACACGGUCCAGACUCCUACGGGAGGCAGCAGUGGGGAAUAUUGGACAAUGGGCGAAAGCCUGAUCCAGCCAGGCCGCGUGUGUGAAGAAGGUCUUCGGAUUGUAAAGCACUUUAAGUUGGGAGGAAGGGCAGUAAGUUAAUACCUUGCUGUUUUGACGUUACCAACAGAAUAAGCACCGGCUAACUUCGUG